RNAcentral lists this ribosomal RNA (429 nucleotides) under uncultured bacterium. RNAcentral's name for it is "bacterial SSU rRNA". It matches the Rfam family "Bacterial small subunit ribosomal RNA", at positions 29 to 506 of the family's 1533-position model. The record is from RNAcentral.
ACGAACGCUGGCGGCAGGCUUAACACAUGCAAGUCGAGCGCGUAGCAAUACGAGCGGCAGACGGGUGAGUAACGCGUGGGAAUCUACCCAUCUCUACGGAACAACUCCGGGAAACUGGAGCUAAUACCGUAUACGUCCUUCGGGAGAAAGAUUUAUCGGAGAUGGAUGAGCCCGCGUUGGAUUAGCUAGUUGGUGGGGUAAUGGCCUACCAAGGCGACGAUCCAUAGCUGGUCUGAGAGGAUGAUCAGCCACACUGGGACUGAGACACGGCCCAGACUCCUACGGGAGGCAGCAGUGGGGAAUAUUGGACAAUGGGCGCAAGCCUGAUCCAGCCAUGCCGCGUGAGUGAUGAAGGCCCUAGGGUUGUAAAGCUCUUUCACCGGUGAAGAUAAUGACGGUAACCGGAGAAGAAGCCCCGGCUAACUUCGU